GUGUCAGCCGCCGCGGUAAUACGAAAGGGGCUAGCGUUGUUCGGAAUUACUGGGCGUAAAGCGCACGUAGGCGGCCGUGUAAGAUGGGGGUGAAAUCCCUGGGCUCAACCCAGGAACUGCCUUCAUGACUGCAUAGCUCGAGGAUGUGAGAGGUUGGCGGAAUUCCGAGUGUAGAGGUGAAAUUCGUAGAUAUUCGGAAGAACACCAGUGGCGAAGGCGGCCAACUGGCACAUUUCUGACGCUGAGGUGCGAAAGCGUGGGGAGCAAACAGGAUUAGAUACCCGCGUAGUCC
RNAcentral lists this ribosomal RNA (292 nucleotides) under uncultured bacterium. RNAcentral describes it as "partial 16S ribosomal RNA". It matches the Rfam family "Bacterial small subunit ribosomal RNA", at positions 505 to 796 of the family's 1533-position model. The record is from RNAcentral.